CGGCGGACGGGUGAGUAAUGCCUAGGAAUCUGCCUGGUAGUGGGGGACAACGUUUCGAAAGGAACGCUAAUACCGCAUACGUCCUACGGGAGAAAGCAGGGGACCUUCGGGCCUUGCGCUAUCAGAUGAGCCUAGGUCGGAUUAGCUAGUUGGUGAGGUAAUGGCUCACCAAGGCGACGAUCCGUAACUGGUAUGAGAGGAUGAUCAGUCACACUGGAACUGAGACACGGUCCAGACUCCUACGGGAGGCAGCAGAC
This 257-nucleotide ribosomal RNA is filed under the name uncultured Pseudomonas sp. Its description in RNAcentral is "partial 16S ribosomal RNA". It matches the Rfam family "Bacterial small subunit ribosomal RNA", at positions 96 to 354 of the family's 1533-position model. The record is from RNAcentral. Lineage: Bacteria; Pseudomonadati; Pseudomonadota; Gammaproteobacteria; Pseudomonadales; Pseudomonadaceae.